This 597-nucleotide ribosomal RNA is filed under the name Shigella sonnei. Its description in RNAcentral is "partial 23S ribosomal RNA". It matches the Rfam family "Bacterial large subunit ribosomal RNA", at positions 2211 to 2807 of the family's 2925-position model. RNAcentral also lists the same sequence under 4 other names. The record is from RNAcentral. Lineage: Bacteria; Pseudomonadati; Pseudomonadota; Gammaproteobacteria; Enterobacterales; Enterobacteriaceae.
UGUUUGAUGUUCUAACGUGGACCCGUGAUCCGGGUUGCGGACAGUGUCUGGUGGGUAGUUUGACUGGGGCGGUCUCCUCCUAAAGAGUAACGGAGGAGCACGAAGGUUGGCUAAUCCUGGUCGGACAUCAGGAGGUUAGUGCAAUGGCAUAAGCCAGCUUGACUGCGAGCGUGACGGCGCGAGCAGGUGCGAAAGCAGGUCAUAGUGAUCCGGUGGUUCUGAAUGGAAGGGCCAUCGCUCAACGGAUAAAAGGUACUCCGGGGAUAACAGGCUGAUACCGCCCAAGAGUUCAUAUCGACGGCGGUGUUUGGCACCUCGAUGUCGGCUCAUCACAUCCUGGGGCUGAAGUAGGUCCCAAGGGUAUGGCUGUUCGCCAUUUAAAGUGGUACGCGAGCUGGGUUUAGAACGUCGUGAGACAGUUCGGUCCCUAUCUGCCGUGGGCGCUGGAGAACUGAGGGGGGCUGCUCCUAGUACGAGAGGACCGGAGUGGACGCAUCACUGGUGUUCGGGUUGUCAUGCCAAUGGCACUGCCCGGUAGCUAAAUGCGGAAGAGAUAAGUGCUGAAAGCAUCUAAGCACGAAACUUGCCCCGAGAUGA